CACAGUUCAGGCAUGCACUGGACUGGGUUAAAUUCCAACAUAGGUUUUUGAACUUAUCCAUGGAGCCCUUUCUGGCAUCACCAGCCUCACUCGUGGCUCUCCUUCACAGCCCGCAGCAUCAACUCCCUGACUCUAUACUGUCUAAUGCCCUCCUAGCUACCCCUAUUGGAGCCUGGAAACAGCCUCACUCCAAACUUGGGGCCAACCUAACUCAUAACCCAG
Molecule: non-coding RNA, 222 nt
Organism: Pelobates cultripes (western spadefoot toad)
Lineage: Eukaryota; Metazoa; Chordata; Amphibia; Anura; Pelobatidae
Source: the annotation of a GenBank genome assembly